AGGGGAUCAUCUUGUCCUCUCCUUGCACUGCCACACCACUCUGUCGCCCAAUUUUACAUUCUGAAAGGAGACAAUAGAGACUAGACUAAACCUCCAAGGGACAAUAACCCCAGGGGCAGCACGUACUCGGAAUAAUAGGUGCAGUCAGCUGCCUCACUCUCAGGUCUGUGGAGGAACCCAGAGGAAUUUUUAAAGUCCUCAGUUAACAGGUCAGUAAUAAAUCCUUUUCCUCAGGCCCCCCUCCGUUC
RNAcentral lists this long non-coding RNA (248 nucleotides) under Mustela putorius furo (domestic ferret). Its description in RNAcentral is "lncRNA (ENSMPUG00000030226.1)". Lineage: Eukaryota; Metazoa; Chordata; Mammalia; Carnivora; Mustelidae. The record is from RNAcentral.